RNAcentral lists this transfer RNA (71 nucleotides) under Coccocrater sp. MNHN-IM-2013-41044. RNAcentral describes it as "tRNA-Met". It matches the Rfam family "tRNA". Rfam says of the family: Transfer RNA (tRNA) molecules are approximately 80 nucleotides in length. The record is from RNAcentral. Lineage: Eukaryota; Metazoa; Mollusca; Gastropoda; Cocculinidae.
GGUAGGGUAAGCUAAGUGUAAGCUGUUGGGUUCAUGCCCCGAUUAUAGAGGGUUUAUUUCUCUUCCUAUUA